RNAcentral lists this ribosomal RNA (508 nucleotides) under Escherichia coli. RNAcentral describes it as "bacterial SSU rRNA". It matches the Rfam family "Bacterial small subunit ribosomal RNA", at positions 100 to 610 of the family's 1533-position model. Lineage: Bacteria; Pseudomonadati; Pseudomonadota; Gammaproteobacteria; Enterobacterales; Enterobacteriaceae. The record is from RNAcentral.
AUUCGCGUAUGUCUGGCAUCUGCCUGAUGGAGGGGGAUAACUACUGGAACGGUAGCUAAUACCGCAUAACGUCGCAAGACCAAAGAGGGGGACCUUCGGGCCUCUUGCCAUCGGAUGUGCCCAGAUGGGAUUAGCUUGUAGGUGGGGUAACGGCUCACCUAGGCGACGAUCCCUAGCUGGUCUGAGAGGAUGACCAGCCACACUGGAACUGAGACACGGUCCAGACUCCUACGGGAGGCAGCAGUGGGGAAUAUUGCACAAUGGGCGCAAGCCUGAUGCAGCCAUGCCGCGUGUAUGAAGAAGGCCUUCGGGUUGUAAAGUACUUUCAGCGGGGAGGAAGGUAGUAAAGUUAAUACCUUUGCUCAUUGACGUUACCCGCAGAAGAAGCACCGGCUAACUCCGUGCCAGCAGCCGCGGUAAUACGGAGGGUGCAAGCGUUAAUCGGAAUUACUGGGCGUAAAGCGCACGCAGGCGGUUUGUUAAGUCAGAUGUGAAUCCCCCCGGGCUC